CUGCCAUCCUAGAGAUACCCAAUAUCUGCUUUUUCUACAAUGUGGAUUUCAAUACAGAUUGGUAAUGAUAAAAUAUCUAAAACUUCUAUGUUCUAUUAUAUAAUAAAGUUUGUAUAGGCUUCAGAGGAUCAAAAGUCAUAAAGCUUGGAUCCACUUCUCACAGUUUAAACAUGUCUCAACAGAUUUCCACUUCUGGUAGAAGAAUAUCAGUUGCUGACUACAGCCUGCUCCUAAAGACUUCAAGCCCUAGACUUGCUGUGGAUGUGAACCAGUCCAGCUGAUAUGGACACCACCUAUCUCUGCAACAGAGUCUGCCACCCAGAAGCUCCUAAUGAAUUCCCUGUAGGGGAAGCUGUAGCCACGUCUACUUAGGGGCUGGCUACAGGUGCCUGACCACGCUUUCGAGGGCGUGGUCAGGGUGAUGUAGUGUGACUGUGUUUUCUCUUUCGCUCUCUCUUUUGGGCUUGUGUACAGACCGCUGCCACGCCGGCUGACUAUGUCACUCUGUAAGUGAGGCUUUUCCCUAUUAAAUACC
Molecule: long non-coding RNA, 535 nt
Filed under: Cricetulus griseus (Chinese hamster)
Lineage: Eukaryota; Metazoa; Chordata; Mammalia; Rodentia; Cricetidae
Description: lncRNA (ENSCGRG00015042588.1)
Source: RNAcentral